AGGAUCGCCGGCCGCGCCCGCGCCGCCCGGGCGCACGGAGGAGCACGCCGGCUACGCGCUCGCCCACGCCCGGCCGCCCGCCCGUCCUCUGCGCCGGGGACAAGUCCUUCCACCGAGGCCGGGUCCCCGCGCCUUCCCUAGCGCCCUGCCUCUCUUUGGCCGCGCUCGCAGGACCGCCUGUAGGAGAGUGAAGCCCCAGGGUUUCCUUGCUGAUGGAGUCCCCCACCUUCCCCAGCCUUCCUGUUCCCGGGCUGGUUACGGCGGCGAAGGGAGACCUUGCCUCUCCCCAGCCUUGGAAGCAGAGGGCUGGAGGUGGCCUUAUGUCCACUGCCUGCGACUCUGGACUUGAAGGGAAGAAGUAAUCGAUCAUGAUGACCGUGAAAGAAACACGUCUCCCUUCAUCCCAGGACCCCUGGUGGACACUGGGUGGUUUAGCAUCCGGACUAUGGAGAUGCUUUGGAGGUGUUGGCAGGACUACGGUUGAGCCCUUAUUUGAUAUUUACCGAUUGAGAAAGAACCAAGAUUAAGAGGCCUGGAACUCAUCAGGGGUAUUUUAUUUAUCCUGCCUUUUCCUCAUUUCCUCUCCUGCUGUCAUGCUUGUUUAUUGAGCACCUACUGUUUAUGGGAAGAAAAGAUAAUAGACAAGAUACUUGACCUCAAACCCAUGAAAAUUUAAUAGUUACAUGUCAUCAUCCUCGGGCCAGCAGCGGUAUGUGUUCUGGUCUUGCUUCCUGGACCACCCAGAAGAGACUUUAUAGCCCCAGCCAUCAGGGGUAUAGUGUGUGCCCAGUGUGUUUUCUAUCCCUGGCUUCCAAAAAGUCCUGGAAGAAAGAAUAGGUGUGACCAGAAAGUCCUUCACCUCCGGAAUCUAAGUGGAUAUGAAAUGUGGACAUGAGAGGGGCACAGAGGAAGACUACCUGAAGACACACAGAGAGAAGGUGACCACGUGGUUGGAGUGGAGCAUCUACAAACCAACACACAUACCAAGGAUUGCUGGCAAGUAUCACCAGAAGCUAGAAGAGGCAAGAAAGGAUUCUCCCCAAAGCUGUCAGCAAAAACACAGCACUGAUGGUACCUUGAUUUCAGACUUUUAGCCCCGAAACUGUGAGAGAGUAAAUUUCUGUUGUUUUAGGUGACCUGUUUUUUGGAAUUUGUUAUGUCAACUGUAGGAAAUGGAUAUUGUACAACGAUUGGGGCAUGACUUUGCAAUGGUUUACCUGCUCUCAGAUGAAAAUUUUUUUUUUUUGUUUUUUUUUUAGAUGGAGUCUUGCUCUGUUGCCCAGGCCAGAGUGUAGUGGUGCCAUCUUGGCUCACUGCAACCUCUACCUCCCGGGUUCAAGCGAUUCUCCUGCCUCAGCCUCCCGAGUAGCUGGGACCACAGCACACCACCAGGCCUGGUGAAUUUUUGUAUUUUUAGUAGAGAAAGGGUUUCACCAUGUUGGCCAGGCUGGUCUCAAACUCCUGACCUCAAGUGAUCUGCUCGCCUCAGCUUCCCAAAGUGCUGGGAUUACAGGUGUGGGCCACCACACCCUGUCUCAGAUGAAAGGUUAAUAUAAUUAAGGAACAUCUUUUUUGUUUUUUUUUUCAGAAAUUGGAAUGGGGGAGUAGCUGAACAGAAAAGUCCAUCUUGUUCAAUUCCCACAAGAACAUUUCUUUGCAAUAUUAUUGGCAGGAAUAUGCAGUAAAGUUCUAAUAACUAUUUACUCCUUUCUUUGAAACUCUAUUCAGUUAUAAUGUGUCCUGUAAAAAGUAUGACACUGAUUUCAUAGUACCAAUUUUAGCCUAAUACAUAUUUAAAUGAUUCCCAAUGUAUAAAGAUAUUUUAGUAAUAAGAAAUUAUUUAAGGAUCCCAAACAUCACAAUAAACAUAAAGCCUAGUUUUAGGUUGCAAAAAAGUAUCAAACUUUAUAAGUUUUAGUGCAAAUUAAGAGAAAUUACAUUCUAACUACACUAAUAACUGAAAACUUCAUAUUAGGCAAAUAAUGUCUUCAACUACUCAAAUUAUAGGAGCCCACUUCAAGAACCUCAGUAAGAAGAAAUUUUGAAUGGUUUAAAAAUAAUAAAUGCCAUGACAUUUUAAAUGGAAAUUUGGCAUAUUUUUGAGAUAAAUAUGAUUGGAUACAUGUGUGUGCCAUUCUUUUAUCUCUUCUUACUUUUACUGUAUCUCUACUUUAAUGAUGACAAUAAUAUGGCUACAGACAUGAAAUGGUUUAUCUUUCUUCUUUUCUUUCACUCUUUCAUUUAAAGCAUUUAUAUUAUUUUUUAUUGAUGUCAAUGUUAACAUUUUGGCAUCCUUCCCAAGUAUAUUGCAAGAAAUACAUCAAUAAAAACUUAAAUUUAAAAAAUAUGUAGUCUGGGGCCAGAUAAUAAUGGCAUAUUUCUUUAAAAUUAGGUAUAAAGGAGUACAGACGAGGUCAAAAUUCUAAAAUUGGAAUCUUGCCAUUAACAAACAGAACUGACAUUCUGAUACUUCUAUCUGCUGUGGACGUGACACAGAGACUUACCAAAGCCAAGAUACAUUUAUUCAAGGAGGAGCAACUUGCCUUUAUACUUAUACCUUUGUUAAUAACUUGUUUAAAGCAAUCCUUUGUUUUCUUUGCAUAUUUGAAUUGAUUUGCUAAAAGUUAUCUACUGUUAAAUAAGCAAAACUCAAAAUUUUCAAGCAUAUGGGACUUGUUCAGAAUCAGUUUUUAGUUUCUUUUUCAGGAUUUUGUACAAGUUGCAAGAGAAGAGACACAAAAUUAUCUUAUUAAUUCUAUUGCAAUAUGGAGAUACAUUUUAAACAAAUGGAAAUAAUCAAUAUUAGUAUUAUCUGUAUAUUUGUGUGUGUGUGUGUUGAUCUGACUAUAUUUUUCUUCAAAGGGAAAUCACAAAGGCCAAGUGUGUUUAUCAGGUAACUCACCUUAAGAAAACUUGUACUAUGUGAAAAGUCAAUUUCUUUAAAAACUGUCACCAACUCAACCCUGGUUUGUAAGUAGAAAAAACUAUCAAUUAUUUUUUAACAAUAGUAAUACUCCCAAGGUAUAUACUUCUGCCACAAAAAAUUAAGAAUAGUUUACUUAGCACGUUUUGUCAUUGUGGAAAUCAUUGAGAAAAAUCACAGUGGAAAGUUAUUUGAAAAGGCAUAACUGUCAUUAGAAAGAAAUUAAGAAUAAAGAAGGCAGGCCUGGCGUGGUGGCUCAUGCCUGUAAUCCCAGCACUUUGGGAGGCUGAGGUGGGUGGAUCUCCUGAGGUCGGGAGUUCAAGACCAGCCUGACUAACAUGGAGAAACCCCAUCUCUACUAAAAAUACAAAAUUAGCCGGGGUGGUGGCACAUGCCUGUAAUCCCAGCUACUCGGGAGGCUGAGGCAGGAGAAUUGCUUGAACCCAGGAGAUGGAGGUUGCGGUGAGCUGAGAUGGUGCCAUUGCACUCCAGCCUGGGCAAAAAGAGUGAAACUCCACCUAAAAAAAAAAUAAAAAUAAUAAAAAAAUAAAGCAGUAAAAAC
Molecule: long non-coding RNA, 3485 nt
Organism: Homo sapiens (human)
Lineage: Eukaryota; Metazoa; Chordata; Mammalia; Primates; Hominidae
Source: Ensembl